AGCAGCCGCGGUAAUUCCAGCUCCAAUAGCGUAUAUUAAAGUUGUUGCAGUUAAAAAGCUCGUAGUUGAAUUUCGGGACCAGUAUGUUGGUCGUGCUUCGGUACGUACUGUCAUUACUGGUUUCUCCCUUCUGAAGAACCUUGAUGUCAUUAAUUUGGUGUCUUGGGGAAUCAGGACUGUUACUUUGAAAAAUUAGAGUGUUUAAAGCAGGCAUACGCUUGAAUACAUUAGCAUGGAAUAAUGAAAUAGGACGUUUGAUUCUAUUUUGUUGGUUUCUAGGAUCGACGUAAUGAUUAAUAGGGAUAGUUGGGGGCAUUAGUAUUCAAUUGUCAGAGGUGAAAUUCUUGGAUUUAUUGAAGACUAACUACUGCGAAAGCAUUUGCCAAGGAUGUUUUCAUUAA
This 401-nucleotide ribosomal RNA is filed under the name uncultured Glomus. RNAcentral's name for it is "SSU rRNA". It matches the Rfam family "Eukaryotic small subunit ribosomal RNA", at positions 569 to 976 of the family's 1831-position model. The record is from RNAcentral. Lineage: Eukaryota; Fungi; Glomeromycota; Glomeromycetes; Glomerales; Glomeraceae.